RNAcentral lists this ribosomal RNA (483 nucleotides) under uncultured bacterium. RNAcentral's name for it is "partial 16S ribosomal RNA". It matches the Rfam family "Bacterial small subunit ribosomal RNA", at positions 30 to 507 of the family's 1533-position model. The record is from RNAcentral.
AUUGAACGCUGGCGGCAGGCCUAACACAUGCAAGUCGAGCGGAUGAAGGGAGCUUGCUCCUGGAUUCAGCGGCGGACGGGUGAGUAAUGCCUAGGAAUCUGCCUGGUAGUGGGGAUAACGUCCGGAAACGGGCGCUAAUACCGCAUACGUCCUGAGGGAGAAAGUGGGGGAUCUUCGGACCUCACGCUAUCCGAUGAGCCUAGGUCGGAUUAGCUAGUUGGUGGGGUAAAGGCCUACCAAGGCGACGAUCCGUAACUGGUCUGAGAGGAUGAUCAGUCACACUGGAACUGAGACACGGUCCAGACUCCUACGGGAGGCAGCAGUGGGGAAUAUUGGACAAUGGGCGAAAGCCUGAUCCAGCCAUGCCGCGUGUGUGAAGAAGGUCUUCGGAUUGUAAAGCACUUUAAGUUGGGAGGAAGGGCAGUAAGUUAAUACCUUGCUGUUUUGACGUUACCAACAGAAUAAGCACCGGCUAACUUCGUG